Long non-coding RNA from Pipra filicauda (Wire-tailed manakin), 236 nucleotides. RefSeq lists it as uncharacterized. Lineage: Eukaryota; Metazoa; Chordata; Aves; Passeriformes; Pipridae. The transcript is spliced from 3 exons. The record is from RefSeq and is a predicted model, not a curated record.
UACUAACUUCCUGUUUCUUAGUCAUAGGAGAACAUUUUCAGCUUGGCAGGGAGGAAGAUGCCCAUGACUUCUUAUGCUGUACUGUCAAUGCCAUGCAGAGAGCUUGUCUGGGUGCAAGCAACGACUUGGACAUAUCAUCUCAAUCUACUACCAUUGUCCAUCAAAUAUUUGGAGGCUUUCUGAGAUCCAGAGUCAUCUGCUUCAGCUGCAAAGCCAUUUCUGAUUCCUAUGAGGCU